UGUAAGCGUAUACCAAAGUUGUUGCAGUUAAAACGCUCGUAGUCGGAAUUUGGCAGUUCCGGAUGUGUGCACGUCGUGUGCGCACUUCGCGGGGAUUGCUUUUGUGGUCUUGCGUAGGAUGAGGCACUUUUAUUAGUGAACGUCCUCACGCAACCACUUUUUACUGUGAGAAAAUCAGAGUGCUCAAAGCAGGCAUUUGCCGUGAAUGUAUUAGCAUGGAAUAAUUGAAUAGGACUUGGUUCUAUUUUGUUGGUUUGUUGGGACUGAGUAAUGAUUAAGAGGGACAGUUGGGGGCAUUUGUAUUUCGGUGCUAGAGGUGAAAUUCUUAGAUUACCGAAAGACAAACUGCUGCGAAAGCGUCUGCCAAGGAUGUUUUCAUUGA
This 382-nucleotide ribosomal RNA is filed under the name uncultured eukaryote. RNAcentral's name for it is "partial 18S ribosomal RNA". It matches the Rfam family "Eukaryotic small subunit ribosomal RNA", at positions 592 to 976 of the family's 1831-position model. The record is from RNAcentral.